Molecule: long non-coding RNA, 41522 nt
Filed under: Vitis vinifera (wine grape)
Lineage: Eukaryota; Viridiplantae; Streptophyta; Magnoliopsida; Vitales; Vitaceae
Description: long non-coding RNA (VVIN_LNC006210)
Source: RNAcentral
GUACAAUAGCUGUGGUGGUUGUGUUAUCAUAAAAGUCUUGAUAUUUCGGGGCAACAGAAUAAGUUAUAGCCGCCAUGUAAUAGUGAUCCGGGCGUUGGUUAGCUUCUAGUAAGACAUCAUAGGUUUGGCCAGGAAAUAUUGUGAUAAAAUCUCGUGUCAAUGGUUUCGUGUAGCUACCAUCUGUUCCAACCACUGUCAUUUUAUGCUUGUCAAUGGAGAAGAAGAGAGCCUCAUGCAAGGCAGCAUUGAUUAUGCGAAGUAGAUAGGUCUUUCCAUGAUCCACCGUUAGCUUGAAUGUGUCUGCAAUUAGAGAGGGAAAGUUGUAUACUUAUGACUAGCCAAAAGAAAAAGAAAAAGUUUCCAUGAGGAUCCACUAAUUAUGAAGGGAUUGAUUGAUGAGGGGUGUAAAUUUGGCUCCAUAGUUCAAAAUUAUAUUUGGACUAGCCUUUUUUUGUGUUUUAAAUCAUGGCUCUACCAUCCUCAUAGCUAUAUUCCUCUUUCUUAGCAUUAAGCUUUAAAUAUGUUGAUGUUAAUAAGAAAAAGUAAUAUGGCUAACAUAUAAGAAAAUGAAAUUGUGUACAAUUUUAAAAUGGGAAGUUAAACUUUGUACCUGAUUUUGAGCAUGGAUAUAGAUCACCGGGUUGUCCAUUUAUCAAUAAAGCAUCAGAGGGGUCGGGGUCACCUCCGGUUGCAAGCCCUUCAUCUCGAACCGCAUUCACAUCAUUCUUCCACCAUUCUCCUGCAUUUCAACAACUUCAAUAAUUUUAGAUUUUGCUUUGUUGGUUAAUUCAUAAUAUGUAAAUUAACCUUUAAAAGUAACAACACUUAUACCUAAUAUGAUAGGGACCUCUCUGUCAGGUUUGUGAAAAGGAUACUUGGUUCCAUUCUUGGGAUAGAUAAUUAUAGCUCCAUGAACAGUGGCUCGGGUCCAAUCACUGUGAGCAUGCCACCAUAGAGUGCCUUCUUCAGUGGAAAGGAUGAUCUUCUGUGUAAACUUUGACCCUGGCCGAAUUGGGCAUUGUGUGAUAUACUCGGGACCAUCUGUCCAUGGAUAUCUAGGCAUGGUCACCCCAUGCCUGCGAAACCAUAACUAUACGUUAAAACUAGUACUAAUUUUCAAAGUAACAAAAGAUGGCAUGCAACAACAUAUUAUCAUAGUAACAAGAGGCAUCAAUUGUAUUUCAAUGGAACUAAAGCAAAUAACCUUAAAGUAUUGUUUUAAAUUUGACUUUAUUUUCAAAGUUAUAUAUUGUAGCCCCCUCUUAGAUAUAAAAGAAUGUAUGUCAUGCAAGCAUGCUACCACUGCUCUUUCUUUGAGACACGCACAGGACCUACCAAUGAAUGGUGAUGUUUUCGUUUCCCUUGUUAUAAACGUCGACAAUGAUCGUCUCUCCUUUCGUAGCAUAUAUGGUUGGUCCCGGAAAUUUUCCAUUUACUGUUAAGAUGUUCUUGGUGCUACAAAGCCUUUUAUAUGAAGCUUCCCUCACCUGCAACCAAUUAAAAGUUAGCCAUGCAACCUCAUCCCAAAAGAAAUAUUACAUGCAUGAAUAGUUGUAUCGAUCCAUUCAUGUAAGUGUAUAACCAAUUAGAAAUUGAUAGCAUGCAUGAAUGACUCAACGACACCAAGGUAGUAGGUCAUAUGGUACGAAAUGAGAGCCAUACCACUCCCUAAAUAUCAUGAUUACAAGGUGGCGUUAAGGCCAGAAUCAUAUAUAGAAUUUACCACAAAAGUAAGCCGACGGGUCGAAGCUUGGCAAUGGAUUCCACCACCAAAAACUAGAAACGCUAAAAUUUGCAGGAGGAAAACCUUCAUGAUCAGCCACAUUUUCCUUGGAAUAAAAGCCUCUUCUCUUGUCCUAAACACAACUCCUUCAAUUCUCUUACUGCUUUUGAUGUAUUUCUUUCAUAUAUGGUUCAUUAUAUAGGCAUGGUAAUUCUCUCGGGAUACAAUACGUGUCAAUAUAAGAGGAAGUGAUUUGAAUGUGUAUUGGUUUUCAAUGUUCUUUCAGGACGACUUCAAUGAGCAGGACCACUUCAAAAAUAAUUAAUUACGUACACGUUAUUGAUUAUUUUAGAAUAUUCUUUCAAAAGUCUUUUAUUGAUUAUUUCAACAAAUUUUAAUUAAUUAAAUAUAUGUAGAAUAAUUUUAAAACUUUGACUUCCCGUAUGAGUACAAUUUGUCAUGAUCGUUGGUGUAGAUAUAAAAAGAGACUAAAUUAAAGGAUUUUGAAAAUGUGUCGACAAGAACAUCAUUGAAAAAUUUGAAGGUUCCAAUUUUGUGGGUCAUGCAAUUUAUUGGACACUGAAUGGAUAAACAAGCCACGCUCUCCACUUAUUUUCUUUCAAUAUAUAAGCCUUGUACGUGAUGUUGGUUGACUAUUAUGAUAGUAAAUUCGGGAGGAUGUUUAAAUGGACGGGCAAGAUAAGAAAUAGAUUUUCUAUUAAGAUAUUUGAAUGGAGAUGAAAGCAUGGGUAUAGGUUUGUACUAAGGAAAUGAACAUAUGAUUAAAAUAAACCUGAUACAGUUAGUCUAUAAGAAUGGAUCCUGUUUCUAACCUUUUAACACACAAAUUUGGAAACCUAAACCUAUGGAUUGUUUCUUUCCUAUAAUGGAAUCCUAUGUUCCUUCUCAAAGCAGCGCUGACUUUUCCCUUCCUACCAACUACAAAGAGAAAAUCUUGACUAAUCUCGAUAAAGGUUUAUUUUAUCUAUACAUGCGAGGUCAAAGUUUUAAAAGUAUUCUACAUAUAUUUUAAAUUUAUUCUAAAAUAAUGUGUUUGAUUAAUUUCUUGGUCAAUUCUCAAAGUCAAACUUGUAUUUUGAAUUGGAAAAUUCUAGAGAUUCUAAGAAACUCGUCUUCUACGAUACACAACCUGAUUGAAGCUGAGCUGUGAGAAAUUUUCACAAUUGUUAGCAUUCUUCAGGCAUUUGGUUUAUUUAAAUUUUGGUAAUAGUCAUAUGAUAGUAAAUUCGGGAGGAUGCUUGCAUGCAUGGGCAUCAUGAUUUUUUUUGAGAUGUUUAAAUGGACGUGAAAGAUAAGAAAUAGAUUUUCUAUUAAGAUAUUUGAAUGGAGAUGAAAGCAUGGGUAUAGGUUUGUACUAAGGAAAUGAACAUAUGAUUAAAAUAAACCUGAUACAGUUAGUCUAUAAGAAUGGAUCCUGUUUCUAACCUUUUAACACACAAAUUUGGAAACCUAAACCUAUGGAUUGUUUCUUUCCUAUAAUGGAAUCCUAUAUUCCUUCUCAAAGCAGCGCUAAACCUAAACCUGAUACAGUUAAUCCUAUAUUUAAAAUACAAGUUUGACUUUGAGAAUUGACCAAGAAAUUAAUCAAACGCAUUAUUUUAGAAUAAAUUUAAAAUAUCCUUUCACAAGUCUUUUAUUGAUUAUUUCAACAAAUGUUAAUUAAUUAAAUAUAUGUAGGAUAUUUUUAAAACUUUGACCUCCCGUAUGAGUACCCUUCUGAAAAGUCGGGAGGAUGUUGGUUGACUAUUAUGAUAGUAAAUUCGGGAGGAUGCUUGCAUGUAACAAUUUUAUUUUAUUUUAUUUUAAAAUUUAUUCUAAAACCAUAGGUUUAGGUUUCCAAAUUUGUGUGUUAAAAGGUUAGAAACAGGAUCCAUUCUUAUAGACUAACUGUAUCAGGUUUAUUUUAAUCAUAUCUUCAUUUCCUAAGUACAAACCUAUACCCAUGCUUUCAUCUCCAUUCAAAUAUCUUAAUAGAAAAUCUAUUUCUUAUCUUUCACGUCCAUUUAAACAUCCUCCCGAAUUUACUAUCAUAAUAGUCAACCAACAUCACGUACAAGGCUUAUAUAUUGAAAGAAAAUAAGUGGAGAGCGUGGCUUGUUUAUCCAUUCAGUGUCCAAUAAAUUGCAUGACCCACAAAAUUGGAACCUUCAAAUUUUUCAAUGAUGUUCUUGUCGACACAUUUUCAAAAUCCUUUAAUUUAGUCUCUUUUUAUAUCUACACCAACGAUCAUGACAAAUUGUACUCAUACGGGAAGUCAAAGUUUUAAAAUUAUUCUACAUAUAUUUAAUUAAUUAAAAUUUGUUGAAAUAAUCAAUAAAAGACCUUUGAAAGAAUAUUCUAAAAUAAUCAAUAACGUGUAGGUAAAUAAUCAAGAACAUCUUAACAGUAAAUGGAAAAUUUCCGGGACCAACCAUAUAUGCUACGAAAGGAGAGACGAUCAUUGUCGACGUUUAUAACAAGGGAAACGAAAACAUCACCAUUCACUGGUAGGUCCUAUGCGUGUCUCAAAGAAAGAGCAGUGGUAGCAUGCUUGCAUGACAUACAUUCUUUUAUAUCUAAGAGGGGGCUACAAUAUAUUACUUUGAAAAUAAAGUCAAAUUUAAAACAAUACUCUAAGGUUAUUUGCUUUAGUUCCAUUGAAAUACAAUUGAUGCCUCUUGUUACUAUGAUAAUAUGUUGUUGCAUGCCAUUAUAGGAUUCCAUUAUAGGAAUAUAGUUAUGGUUUAGGUUUCCAAAUUUGUGUGUUAAAAGGUUAGAAACAGGAUCCAUUCUUAUAGACUAACUGUAUCAGGUUUAUUUUAAUCAUAUGUUCAUUUCCUUAGUACAAACCUAUACCCAUGCUUUCAUCUCCAUUCAAAUAUCUUAAUAGAAAAUCUAUUUCUUAUCUUGCCCGUCCAUUUAAACAUCCUCCCGAAUUUACUAUCAUAAUAGUCAACCAACAUCACGUACAAGGCUUAUAUAUUGAAAGAAAAUAAGUGGAGAGCGUGGCUUGUUUAUCCAUUCAGUGUCCAAUAAAUUGCAUGACCCACAAAAUUGGAACCUUCAAAUUUUUCAAUGAUGUUCUUGUCGACACAUUUUCAAAAUCCUUUAAUUUAGUCUCUUUUUAUAUCUACACCAACGAUCAUGACAAAUUGUACUCAUACGGGAAGUCAAAGUUUUAAAAUUAUUCUACAUAUAUUUAAUUAAUUAAAAUUUGUUGAAAUAAUCAAUAAAAGACUUUUGAAAGAAUAUUCUAAAAUAAUCAAUAACGUGUAGGUAAAUAAUCAAGAACAUCUUAACAGUAAAUGGAAAAUUUCCGGGACCAACCAUAUAUGCUACGAAAGGAGAGACGAUCAUUGUCGACGUUUAUAACAAGGGAAACGAAAACAUCACCAUUCACUGGUAGGUCCUAUGCGUGUCUCAAAGAAAGAGCAGUGGUAGCAUGCUUGCAUGACAUACAUUCUUUUAUAUCUAAGAGGGGGCUACAAUAUAUUACUUUGAAAAUAAAGUCAAAUUUAAAACAAUACUCUAAGGUUAUUUGCUUUAGUUCCAUUGAAAUACAAUUGAUGCCUCUUGUUACUAUGAUAAUAUGUUGUUGCAUGCCAUUAUAGGAUUCCAUUAUAGGAAUAUAGUUAUGGUUUAGGUUUCCAAAUUUGUGUGUUAAAAGGUUAGAAACAGGAUCCAUUCUUAUAGACUAACUGUAUCAGGUUUAUUUUAAUCAUAUGUUCAUUUCCUUAGUACAAACCUAUACCCAUGCUUUCAUCUCCAUUCAAAUAUCUUAAUAGAAAAUCUAUUUCUUAUCUUGCCCGUCCAUUUAAACAUCCUCCCGAAUUUACUAUCAUAAUAGUCAACCAACAUCACGUACAAGGCUUAUAUAUUGAAAGAAAAUAAGUGGAGAGCGUGGCUUGUUUAUCCAUUCAGUGUCCAAUAAAUUGCAUGACCCACAAAAUUGGAACCUUCAAAUUUUUCAAUGAUGUUCUUGUCGACACAUUUUCAAAAUCCUUUAAUUUAGUCUCUUUUUAUAUCUACACCAACGAUCAUGACAAAUUGUACUCAUACGGGAAGUCAAAGUUUUAAAAUUAUUCUACAUAUAUUUAAUUAAUUAACAUUUGUUGAAAUAAUCAAUAAAAGACUUGUGAAAGGAUAUUUUAAAUUUAUUCUAAAAUAAUGCGUUUGAUUAAUUUCUUGGUCAAUUCUCAAAGUCAAACUUGUAUUUUGAAUUAGAAAGUUCAAGAGAUUCUAAGAAAGUCGUCUUCUACGAUACACAACCUGAUUGAAGCUGAGCUGUGAGAAAUUUUCACAAUUCUUAGCAUUCUUCAGGCUUUUGGUUUAUUCAAAUUUUGGUAAGUAAUCAAAUAUCAUACACAACUUGAAGUGGUCCUGCACAUUGAAGUGGUCCUGGAAGAACAUUCAAAACUGCACAUUGAAGUGGUCCUGGAAGAACAUUCAAAACCAAUACACAUUCAAAUUACUUGGCUUAUAUUGAUACGCGUCGAGGAAUUGUUGAUACCCAAGCCACAUGUGAUCUGAUUUAAUGAAUCUCUGCCCUUCAUCCGAAGAAUUCUGGUGUUCUGGAUUGAUGGGAGCAAAAAGGUGACCAGUUUUACCUUGAGUCAAAUUCAAAUGACAAAAUAUAUUACCAGGGCAAUCAUGGACACCACCCUUAACUACAAAAAUAGCGCACACAGCCAAUCCCAUCAACCUAGUAUACACCAAUUUGGAGGCAGAUGUACCAUAUUACUGUGGAGUCUAUACUCUGUUGGCUGAACCACUCAAGAAUUCAACUUCCAGGAACAAAAGUACUGGAUUCAAUAUGUGGAGUAUAUGGCACCAUCUGGGUCAUGAAAAUCAAUGUCAAGUUAUAUGGAAAUAAUGUAGGAGUAGUGCUCAAAGGAGUAUAAGAAUUAUUCCAUAGGAUUUAAUUGAUUUACUUUUACAAUAUGAUCAAGAGAGAGAGGAGAGAAACCUGAAUUGGGAAUUGAAAUCUUGGUAAUUUAUUUGCCAGACUUUGCAUUUCCCUUAAUGUAGCUGCCACAAAGUUGCUGCUUUCAUUCUCAGACAGUCUGAAGCAAUUAGAAAAUGUGAAUCGGAGGCCCCCACAUUCCUUGGAUCUGUAGACACUUGAUGGACACAAAAUGUUUUCCAUAACUGUGCCAUCAUGGGCAUCUAUUUCUUCUAUACUUGAUGGAAGCUCUGGUAAUGAUUGAAGCCUCUUGCAACAACCCAGCCUAAGGCCUUUGAGCUGUGAAAGUUGAUUGAGACGUGCAGGUAGGGUAACAAAAUUGUUUCUGCUCAGAUCUAAAUAUUCCAAUGAGCACAGAGAGCUAAAGUCAUUGGGAAUUGCUCCUUCCAAUAUGUGGCAAUCACUUAGAUUUAACUUUCUUAGGGAUCUUAAACCAAAGAAAGAUGCAGUUGCCACACUAUUCUUAGAUUUAACUUUCUUAGGGAUCUUCAUAUUUAGUUUCAUAGGAAAGAUGUUUUCAAAGAAAUCUGCAUUCUUUGUUUCUAUUAUAGUAUUGACAUCUACCAGAUUAUUUUCUGACUUAGUAACAAGAAACCUAUAUGCCACACUAUUCUUAGCAUAGCCAAUGAACAUUGCAUCAAAGGUUUUAGGACCUAGUUUUCGUUUUUUAGGUUCGGGGAGAAGAACUUUAGCUAAACACCCCCACACUUUCAGGUAUGCUAUAUUAGGUGCAUAACCUUUCCACAACUCAUAAGGAGUUUUACUAGUUUUCUUGUAAGGUAUUCUAUUUUGAAUAUGGCAGGCGGAUAGGAUAGCUUCCCCCCACAAGUUCAAGGGUGCUCCUGAACUUACUAACAUUGCAUUCAUAAUUUCUUUUAAGGUCUUAUUUUUCCUUUAUGCUAUUCCAUUAGACUCAGGGGAAUAAGGAGGAAUAAGGAGGAGUAGUUUCAUGAAUGAUCCCAUGAUCUUCACAAAAAGAAUUAAAGGGGUUGGACUCAUACUCUCCUCCUCUUUCAGUUCUAAGCCUUUUAAUUUUCUUACUUAGUUGAUUUUCCAUUUCAUUUUUGUACUUGAUGAAAGCAUCUCUUGCUUCAUCUUUGUUUCUCAAAAGAUAUACCCUUGUAUACCUUGAGUAGUCAUCUAUGAAAGUUAUGUAGAAUUGUUUACCACCUCUAGUCAUUGUAUUUUUUAGGUCUCCUAAGUCACUAUGUAUUAAACUUAGUAGAUCUGAUUCUCUUUCAACUGAUUUGCAAGAUUUCUUUGUGGUUUUAGAUUCUACACAAGAUUCACAUUUUCCAUGGUUUUCUAAGGACAGAUUAGGGAUUAAACUCAAUUCAACCAUUUUCUUCAUAUAUGAAAAGUUCACAUGUCCUAGUCUACCAUGCCAAAUAUCACAAGAAUCAACUAUGUAAGCAAAAGAAGAAGAUGUAUUAUUAUUGAUAAUAUCAUAAACAUUCAACAUAAAUAAACCCUGAUUACAAUAGCUCUUUCCCACAAAUGCAUCAUUCUUGGUUAAAACUAUUUUAUCAUAGUCAAACAAGAUCCUCACUCCUGCUUUUCCAAGUAGAGAUACCGACACCAAGUUCCAACGGAUAUCUGGCACAUGAAGAACAUCACAUAGGGCAAGCACUUUUCCAGAUGUUAGCUUGAGGAGAACUUUCCCUUUGCCAAUCACUGGAGUAGAUCUAGAAUCACCCAUGAACACUUGGUCCUCUCCUUUCUUUAUAGUGGUAUAGGAAGUAAAUGCAUUUCUAUUCCCACAGAUGUGCCUAUUAACCCCAAAGUCUACCACCCAUUCCUUCAUAUUGGUGACCAUGCUCACCUCAGAGGAGAUUACUGUUGUGAUCACCUCUGUCUCUGCCAGAUUUGCCUUUGAACUGGUCUUCUCAAUUCUCUUCCUAUGGCGACAUUGAGUUGCAUGGUGUCUAGACUUGCCACAGACAAAGCAAUUACCGCGUUUUUUAAUAAUUAGAUUUUGGACCUUAUUUAAUGCAUUGGGCUUGGUCCUAAAGUUUUGUUUCCUGAACCUAUUAUUUUUGGGUUUAGAUUUUUCUUCUACUACAUUAGCUUUAGAAGACAAUUCCUUAGCUUUCUCAAUAUUGUCCCUAUUUCGGUUUUGUUCCUCAAUCCUAAUAUGGAUUAUGACAUCCUCUAAGGACAUUUGUUUCCUUUUAUGUUUCAUGUUGUUUUUAUAGUCUUUCCAAGACUCCGGAAGAGCCUCUACUAAAUAACCAGCCACAAAAGGUUCGGGUAAUUUAAUGUCUUCAAUAGCUAAGUCAUUAAUCAACAAGUGGUAGUCAUGGAUUUGAGAUGAGACAACUCUAUCCUCACUCAUUUGGAAAUUUAUAAAAUUCCCUAUGGCAUAUUUAUGAGUUCCCGCAUCUUGCAAAAUAUAUUUUUUAUUCAUUGCAUCCCAAAUUUAUUUUGCAACUUUAAAUUGACAAUAAAUAUCAAAAAGUUCAUUAGAAAGUGUACUCAGAAUAGCAUGGCUAACUUGUUUAUUUCCAGUUUCCCAGGUUGGUAACAUAUGAGAACCAUCUUCUGGUUUUGGAUCAGUCAAAAUAUGUCCUAAGUUCACCACAUCAAUUGUAGAGAAAACCCUUUCCUGCCAUCUCUUAAAGAAUGUCCCAUUAAAUGGAUUAAUUUUAGAGGUGUCAGGAUGGGUGUGAAUUAGGGAAGCUUUCAUUUGAAUUUAUUUCAAGAUUGUUGGAUUUUAAGGGUAUGGAAACAAAGACUAGCCCAAAAGACACAAACAAAGAACAUAAUGAAUAAAAAAAAAAAACUUAUCGGCUGAGGCAUGACAAGCACUGUCCUUGAAAUAGAUCCACCCUCCUCGAAGACGAACUCGGUGCACUAUGUGAGAAAGGGUAUAAAUAAUGUGAGAUAAGGUACAAAAAAAUGUGAAAAAAUGUACGAAUAAUGUGAGAAAAUGGUAUGCACAAUGUUAUAAAAUGGUAUGAACAAUGUGAAAAAAGAUACAAAUAAUAUGAGACAUGGUAUGAAUUAUGUGAGAGGGGAUACAAAUAAUGUGAGGGAAGGUACAAACACUAUGAGAAAGAGUACAAACAAAACAAGGAAAUGUACGAACAAUGUGAUAAAUGGUAGGAAAAAUGUAAGACAUGGUAUGAACAAUGUAAGAAAAAUAAAAAAUAGAUAAGAUUAAUAAAUUAUUUUUUCAUUAAUAUAAAUUAAAUAAUUAAAAUACCUAAGUUUUUCAAAAAUUUUAAUCAUGGUAGUGGGCCUUUGAUCAACCAAAGAUAGCCCAUGUAUCAUUUUCCAAAGUGAAGCACAACAACCUUAUAACAGUGAUGUCACAUAGCAAUUCAUUAUUCAUUAUUUUGUUUUCCCUUUUCAAUGUGGAUUUUCUUAAAGCUAUUAAAAAAACACACAAAAUCAAGAUUUGAGCAUGGGUCUUUCACAAUAUCUUUUAUAUACUAAUAAUUAUAAAUUAAUUAAAAUGAAAUUAUUAUAAAUAAGUUAAUUUUAAUUAUCUUAUUAUGUCUCAUAUAAAGUGAUUAGAUAUAGGAUAAAUAUAAAUUUAUAAAUAAAAUUAUUAACAUUUUCAAAUAAAAAAUAUAAAUAUAUAUCAAUUUUUUUUAUAUCCUUUAGUAUAUCUAAACUUAAUGCAUUAUCAUUUUAGUAUUAAUAUUUCCCAAUUCGGUAUAUUAUUGUCUGAGAUUACAAAUUUAUUAUACAUUUAUCAAUUUUUCUUAAAACAAUAUCAUUAUAUACAUUAUUACUUUUCUAUCAUUUUUUGAGUUAUUUCCAACAUUUCAUAAGGUUUUAUCAAUUUCCAUCUUAUAUAUAUAUAUAUAUAUAUUUCAGAAUUUUCAUUGAUAUUUCUUUAUAUAUCUAUAAACUCCAACUAAUGAUAUAUCGGUAAAAAUCAAUAUUUUUAUUCUUACUUAACAUAAGAAAGAAAAUUAUUCAAAUGGUGCAUAAAUUAAUGUGACCUCCUGAUGAGAAUGACAAUGACAACCAUGAGUCAUAAUUAGUGUAUGUGUGUGGUAAAUUAACUUAGUGUUUGAUAAAAUAAUUAUUUAUCAUCAUUUAAAAUUUAAAAAUAAAUUUAAAUGUUAAAUCAAAAUAAUUAACUUAUUCUAAAUACUAAUUUUUUUUAUUCUCUUUGUUCAUAUUUGGUGAUAACCAUGCUUUAUUUUUAGAAUUCUUUUUUUUUUUAGUAAAUAUUUUGUAGUUAUUUUGUAGCUUCACAAUAGUACUUUUUAAUAUAAAUGUUUAACAAGCUUGAGUUUAUGAAGAUAAAUAUUAAGAAAAAUUAAUGAGUUUAAAUAUAUCAAUAUAAUAACUUUUAAAAAAUUAAGUUGAUUUUACCAAAAUAAAAAUAAAAAUAAUUCAUCUUAAAAUUAAUUUCAAUAAUUAAGUAAUAAGGAUUAAGUUUUAUCAUACACUCUCUUAAUUAAUAAAUGACAUAACUUCUUUCAACAACUUCUUCGUUCUACUUUUGAAAAAAAAUAAUAAUAAUGUGAUAUUUAUUUAUUUAUGUCUAAAAUUUAAAUAUACUUGAAUUUGACUUAAAUCUAAAUAUAGCUUAAUAUUAUUAAGUGUUCAGACUAUUUUUUUUUAUUUGUGUCUAAAUAUUAUUAACUGUUAAAUUGUUUCUUUUUAUUAAUAUCAAAAUAUGUGAAGUGUUAAAUUUAUUUAUUUUUGGUUAAAAACAUUUAUAAAAGUAAUUGUUAUAUUUCUUCUUAUUUUAAUUUGAAAAGUUAUAAUUUAACAAAAUAGUAAUUUAAUUAACACAUCUAAAAAAUAUUAUAAUACAUUGUCAAAGUAAAAAUUUUAUAAUGAUAAUUAUGUAAUUAGUAAAUUAUAUUAUUGUACAAUCCAUUGUUCCAUGUCGUAUAAUAUAGAAUAGCUAUGCAUACCCAUCAGUGCAUAGACAUAUAUCUUUUGAUAAUCUAUCAUGAAUGUCACCUGGACUCUAAGUGAAGUAUGUAGCUAUUAUACUAUAAAGAUGGCAUAGGAAGAGGCUCCGGGUUUACUAGUUCUCACUCAACCAUAGAAAUAGGGAAUAUAUUGCACAUUAUUUUCAUCUAAAAGAAAGGUAGAAAGACCUUAGAAAUGGAACUUUUAGAUAAAACCUAAGGGUGGCAAUGAGAUGAGUCUAAGAAGGAUCACCUCAAUCUCAAUCUUAUGCCAUUUAUUUAUAUUAAAUGGGGUGAGAUAAGACAAAAUUAUAUUCGAACCUGUCUUGAAUUUGGUUCGAGGGCAAGAAGGGUCUUUACAAAAAUCAGCCUCAUUGUCAUUCUUAGGUACGCAUCUAUACCAAUGAAAGUUUUUACAUCUAUUAAAAAAUUUAAUGUUCCCGAUGUUAAUUAACUUCACCAGACUACAUACACUUCAUAAUCGUGAAAAAGUGUUAAAAUUCUCAACCAAUCAAUGACAUAAACUACAAUCAAGUUUAGUACAUCGUAACCCUAAAAUACCUCCAAACCCCAUUUCUUGUAAGACCCCCUUCUGAUUAGGUUGCAAAUGUUGAAGUGCAUUAUACAACUAAUUAGGCGAACAACAAGUGUCAAGGUAAGACUGCAAGCCAUACAUAUACAUAUGCAUAUAAAUUCGAAAUUGAAAGAAAAUAUUAUCAAAUUUUAAAAAGAUAAAUUUCAAUUUUUUUUUUGUCUUUGAUACAUUUUUUGAGCUUGUACCAUUUUGUUUUACAUAUUCAUUGGAGUAUUUCUUCAUCAUGGGUCUUCAUCCAUUAGGGCACCAAGGAGAGCAAGUUCAUUGGCACGUGCUUUAAUGGUAUGUAGGAAGGUAGUGAUGCUUUGCAAACCCUUGGUGUGAUUCUUAAGGUGGUUGUUGACUUGUUUAAUGUAGACAUGUGAUAGUUUGACAUAGGUAUUGGUGAAGAUGAUCUAUGCUUCACGAAAGGUUGUGGCACAGGCAAUGAAUGGAAUUAUGGUGGGUGAAACGGAGCCAAUAAGUGCAUUUAGGAUCAAUUGAUCUUGAUGAAGCAAGAAUAGGUUGGGUUGGGUAUUACAGUGUCGUUGGCAUAGUGGUGGGUGGACAAGGUUUGGUUCUAUCAAUAUAGCUAAGGCGGUCAAAGCCAAUAAAUAGUGUUUGGAAUUGAAAUCUUUAUGAUAUAUAGUUGGUAGUGGUUAGUUUAAGUGGGGCUCGAGCAAAAACAUUUAUUGAGAUGAGUAUUUGGUGUGACUCAUGGGUGUUGUGAAUAUUGAGAGUAGAAGUUACAGAAGUGGUGACAUCUUAGGUGGCCAUGAGGCUAUGAUGAUGGGGAGGAGCAUUAGAUGGCUUUGGCAUAGAAAAAGAGGUAAGAAGGAAGAACAAGUGGUGGUGAGGGUUUUCAGGUUAAGAAGCUUGAAUGCUCUGAUGUCAUAUUGAAGAAUGAGAUUGGUAAAUUAUUUUUCUAGGUUGAUUCUAUGUUGCUUAUAUGCAUGAUUCACCAAGGGUUUCUGACAAGCAUUAGCUAAGGGUGGCUGAACCCAAUGACAGACCAGAUGAAGGAUUAAUAAUAUAUUGCACUCCAGCAGUUCAACCAAUUCCCUUCGUUUCCUUAAUGACUUCUUUUGGUGACCUAUCAAUUUCUCUCUUGGAAAGUCUAGUAAUGGGUUGCCAAUUACCUAAAAGUUACUUCUGAGGUUUUGUUUUGUUGAUUCUAUGCUAACUGAUAAUCUGCAGAGGAAACAACUUGUUCGUCUGGAGAAGGUCUUGAAGCAUGCACUGUGAUGAAUUUGACCAGAAGAGUAAACUCAUCAAGUCCAUAUUAAGUCAUCAGGUUCCAGUAGAGCUAUUUCAAAAACUUCUUUAAUGCAUUAGCAUUUAAAAAUUGAAACAAUAAAAUAACAUAUAUUAUUGAUACUAUCAUUUAAAACAAGAAAUAUAUUGUUGAUAAUGGCAUUUAAAACAAUAAAAUAGUGCAUUAGACCUGCAUUCAAAUCUUCAAUUCUCAAACACCACCAACCCACCCAUGAAUAGAGAAAGAGAAGAGAACCCUAGCAAAAGUAGAGAGGUUCGAUUCUCAAAUCUUCAAUUUUCUUUUUAUGUGUUCAAGUCAUUUUUAUUUGUUAAAUGAUUCCAGCUACUACUUGGGUCUAGUAUUUCCUUGGUGUAUAUAUCAUGCACUUCUCAGUAGAAUGCCCAUAGACAUGGAGAAACAAUUUUUUAUUUAUUUGCAAUGCCUAAUAUAAAUUAAUAAGCACCUAAUUUUUUGUUUCAGCUAUGAAUGGUAUUUUUCUCUAGAUCAUAAGUACGUUGGUUGAAUUUUAAAAAAUUUAUACCAUUUCAGCGACUAAUUAAUAUCAUGCAAUAGAAAAACAAAGUUGAAAUUUGGGAUAAUAAAUAUCAUUAAAGUACAAAGAAAGUAACUUAUUGGGAGCAAAUUCUUCACAACCUGGCAUUCGCCUUUAGAUUAAAUAAUUUAUUAAUAAUCUCCUCUUUCUUUCUAAACUUAUACCGCUGUUUAUGAAAGUUUCUAAAAACCAAAGCCCAAAGCCUAGACUAUAAAAAGGAAAUAAUCACUUGGAGAGGGGUUGUUUGUUUUUCUUGAGAGCCUAAUAAAUGCAACGACAUAGACAGAAAGAGGCGGAAGAGUUGAGUCGGAGGAUCAAGAAACACAACCAUUCUUCUCUUUCAUUAGGGUUUUUGGCUGACUCUAAGGCCGUCUUACCUUCCUCUUAGAAUGAUGGCCUCUCGUUUCUAUACAUAUCCUUUCAUGCAUUUUCUGGCUCUCCCAUUCUCUUUUUCAAAGCUACGUCUUUCCUCAUAGACCCUGUUUGGUUUCUAAGAAAGUGGUCUAGGUCUCUUUCUUUUUCUUGAUUUAUCUUUUGGUUUACAAGAAUCAGCGACACAAUAAGACUGCCAUGAACGCAUGACGCAGCCACGUGGGAGAAGGCAGCAACCACUUUCGCAUUUUUACUAUGUAUCUCCAGAAACUCCUUUGUACAGCCCACACACGCGCUAAUGAAGCAGAUUCAGCAGAUUUUAAGAGGGGGAAUCUUGAAACCACACAACAUCAAGAGACUUGGCCGGAAGUGUGAUGAUGGGUGUUUCCGAAGAAGAGUUAUAAUUCGCCCACUGUUAAAUAUGGUCAUAGCCGUGAAGGGUCCCACGAGCCUUGAAUUUGUCACUACAUGCAAAAUAUAUGCAGAAGUGAUUGAAAAUGCAUGGCCACCUUUUCCUGCAUGUGAAUGUGUUGAGCUCUAUGGUGCAAUUACUAAUGGAAUUCUCAAUUUAGCUGAUAAGUAUUUUGAGAUGCAAAAGCAUGAUGCUGUCCGGGCAUCGGAAAUUUAUCAGAAAGCAGGAGAGCCAUCAAGCAUUCACUCGACAAGCAAGAGUAACACAUAGGCCACACCAUUCUCCAAAUAGACACAACAACAUACAUUCUUGAAGGCAAGUCCCUUUUUAAAAUUUUAUCUUAGUUUAAUUUUAAUUUAUUUAGUUAGUUUAGAUGUUUUUUUCAAAAUUAGUUUAAUUAAUUCUACAUGAUAAAGCUCUUAUUUUUCAUUUCGAUUUAGUUUAGUGUUGAUUUUUCUUUUAGUUUAAGUGUGUUUGCGAUUUUAAUUCAAUAGCUUAAUUAUUCUUAUUAGAUAAAGUUCAUAUAUAUAUAUAUAUAUAUAUAUAUAUAUAUAUUAUCCCAAAUUAGUUUAGUUUUAAUCUAUCUUUUAGUUUAAGUGUGUUAGUAAUUUUAAUUUAGUUGUUUAAAUAAUCAUGUGAGAUAAAGUUCAUGUUUUUAAUUCUAAUUAGUUUCAUCUUAAUUUAUUCUUUAGUUUAGAUUUGUUGUUGACAGUAAUUUACUAUUUUAAUUAAUCUUAUUAGAUAAAGUCUAAUUAAAAUUAGGUUAGUUUUAAUUUAUUCUAUAGUUUGAGUGUGUUUGCGAUUUUAAUUCAAUUGUUUAAUUAAUCCUCUUAGGUAAAGAUCUUGUUUUUAAUUCCGAUUUAGUUUAGUUUUAAUUUACUUAUUUAUUUAUUUUAGUUAAGAUGUGUUUGUAAUUUUAAUUCGACAAUUUAAUCGACCUUAUUAGAUAAAGUUGAUGUUUUUAAUUCCAAUUUAGUUUAAUUUUAAUUUAUUUUUUAGUUUAAAUGUGUCUGUGUGUUUAAUUGACCUUAUGCUAGCUCUUGAUUUGUUAUUCUCAAUUUAGGUGUUUUCUUGAAUCUUAGUCAUUAAUUCUUGGUGGAUAUCUCAUUAGUUUAUUUUAUCUAAGUCUUAAUAAUUUAUUAUUUCGAUAGUCUCUUGUCAAAUUUACUUUUCAGAGGCCAUCGGAAAAUAGUGAAGAUUGACCUCCAUUCUCACCACUUUAGUUUGUUUGGUUGUCAAAAUUUUUACUUUGUGAUUUUGUUUGCUUUUAUUUUGCUUGUUUCUUAUGUUUUGAUUGUUUUCAAAUUAAUUUCUUUUAUUUUAAAAUAAAAUAUUUUUCUCAAAAGAUCCAUUUGAAAAUUCUAUUUUAAAAAUCAUUCAUUUAGACUCCUUAGAAUCAAAAUCUCAUUUUUUAAUAAUAUGUAACCAUGUCUUGAUCGGUUUGUAUCUUUCACAGUUUUCAAUCAAAAUUCCGAUUUGGAAUGGAAUAUGAAUCCGAGCUUGUGGUCCCAAACAAAUGGGAUAAUUCUGGUCUAGAUUUGUGUAUAUCAAUUGAGGAAUUGGUGGAACCCCUACAUAAGAAAAUUCUUCAAAACUCAUCUUUGCAGCCACCUUUGCUAUUUCAUGAAAUCAUGUAUAUUUAUUAUUUAGGAAUUAUAUACAAGAUGUAUGUGAUAAUUGAUGAUUUCGUAUACUUUGAUCAUUUUUGCUAGGCUAAUUAGAUAACAAGCACAUUAGGAUUUUUUUUAUUUUAUUAUCUAACCCCUCAUGUCUUGUAGAAGCAUGUUACAAGUCAUCUAUCCUAAUAUAUAUUUUAUUAUAUAUUAGUUUUUUUUUUCUUUUUUUAAUCCUAUCUAUGUUGUUGAUAUUAAUGCAUUGAAUUUGAUGCUACCUAAAACAAAAUUAUAUUUCAUGUCCUCUAUUAUAAGUGGACAAUCAUUCCUUAUUUUAGAUUUUAGAUAAAGAACGAAUAAUGAAGAUUGGAGUUGUAAGAAAUUAGGAGAUCCUAAUUUUAAAUAUGUAACAAAGUUCUAUAAUCACUCCAGUACGUUUAAAAUUUGUAUUUCUUUCUAAUAUGGGAGCAAACUUUUUCCUUCUUUCUUAUAAUUUUCAUUUGGGAAUGAUUUAAAAAUAAAUAAAUAAAGGCCCUUCUAAAUAUUAAAAAAACACUCUCUUAUAAAAAUUAAUUAGGUGGAUGGUAAGGUCAAAUUCGGGAUAGCUUCAUAUUUUUUGCUUUAACUGAAAAUUAAAAUCAAAAUUAAAGUAAGAAUUUUUAAGAUGUUGUAAAAGUUUUAUUAAACAUGAAAGAACUUAUUGUGUAAACAAAAAUAGAACUAUAGAAUUUUUAUAAGAAAUAACAUUUUUAUGACUUCUAUAUGAAACCUUUUUUAAAAGUGAUAAGUUUUUUUUUUUAAAUAAUUAAAUAGGUAUAAAAACUUUUAUUCAACUUAAUUUUUUUUAACGGUUAAAAGUCAAUUCAAAUAAAAUUUAAAUAUAUUUGAAAAUCAUUUUUAAAAAUAAAAAAAAAAAACCACUUUUUUUUUAAUUUACAUUUAAUUCAUGAAAUUUCAUUUAUUGUUAUUUAUUUUCGGGAUUUAAUUCUUUGCAAUUGUUUUUGAGUGUUUAUAAAGUAUAAUUAGGUUAUGCCCAAAUUUAUUCCUUUAACUCUAUCCAUUAGAUAUAAGUAGCGUGAAAUUUUGGCCCAUCUCCACCUUUCUUCACUUCUGACAUUGUCAUGCACUACUUCAUCAACUCCAAACACAACCGCUGAGGAUCGAAGAAAAUGAGACAAUGGUCAAUAAAAUGAAAGUUUAAUCAUUUAAUCUUUUUUAGCACACCCCUCAUAACUGUCAGUGAUUUCCUGCCAACUUAACAUAUUGACAUGGACUUGGAGAGUUCGGUCAAUUGCAGCAGCUUGGUUAAUUGUAAGUGUCUUUUCUCUAAACCAUAAAUUCCUACGUUUUAAUUUACAAAAGCCAGUGAUUUUUUUUUACUUAAGGAAGCAGGAAAGGGUUUAAAAUAAGAGUUGAAAAGUAUGCCAAUUAUUUUAACUUUAAGAAAAAACGUUUAUUUUAAUUUAAAAUAAGUAAAUCAAAAGGAAUUGAUUUUAUCUCAAUUGUAUAAGAUUUUAUAAAAAUUAUCUUAUUUGCAAAAUAUUUUCAGAUGUAAAAGUAAAAAAUUAAACAAAUCAUUUGAUGAUCAUAGUCUAAUUUUAAAUUAUUAGAAUAAGUCAAUCCUCUAAACUAUAUCAUUUAUAAUUUUUUUGAUUAUUAAUAUGAUACGUAACCUUCCACGGAAUUGGAAUAAAAUAUGGAUAAUUAAAAAAUGUCAACUAUCCCAUUUCAAACUUUUCUAAUAUAGCAUGAUAUUUUAACAUGAUGAAUGAAAUGGGAAUGACCAAAAAUUGUAAAAUCAAAGAUAUAUCUAUUGUGGACAUGGCAUUCGGAGGCUUCUUAACAUUGUAUUGGUCUACUUAAUGAGUUGAAACAGGAACACAACACCAAAUUCUCUUUUUAUAAUCAAAGACUUCCAUGGAAAAUUCCACCAUAUCAUAUCUCAAAGAUUAGUCAAAUUCCAUUAUCUUUAUAGACUUUUAACAAUCCAAGAAAUUGACAUUAAUAAUCCCAUACACAAUAUUCUACAACUUUACAUUAUCUUGAUUGAAGAUAAUCAUAUUAUUUCAUUAACAAUUCAAGAAAUUCCAUUAUCAAUCAAAAAAUAAAUCAUGAAAGCUAAAUAAUACAAAUAUUCAAUGAAAUCUUUGGCGUGUUAUUUCUUUACAGCUUCAACAUGGUGGCAUGUCCGACGGAGGAGGCAGCAUUUGAGCUUCCGGGUGUUUACCAUUUUUCAUUAUGAACGCAGUUUCCAUGCCCCAAGUCAGAUGGCGUUCUACAUGGCAGUGCAUGAACCACACUCCUGCAACAGAGAAAAUAUACCAACAUUACACCUAACUUAAUUGUAAUAUUAAGAAAAAUUAUUUCCUUGGUAUGCAGGUUAGCAGUUUCAAGGGUUUUUAUUUUUUAUUUUUAAUAGACGACAUGAGUGCUUGGAACAUACCAGGGUUGGAUGCCUCAAAUCUGAUUGCAACCCAACCAUUCGAAGGAACGGAGAUGGUAUUCUGAAAGGGAGGAUCCACCAAAUUAUAGCGUAAAGGGUCCUUAUUUCCAUCGAAAUUCCCAAAUCCCCAUCCAACAACAUAGAAACUGUAUCCAUGGAGAUGCAUGGGGUGGUGUGUUGCUGCAAGCACGUUUGUCCCUUGAAAAACAAUCUCCACUGUGGAGUUAUACUCGAGCACCCUUACUUCUGUUCCGCUGCUUGGCAACUGAUAGAUUAAUGGAAGAUAAUCAGCUGUAAAAUCGAACACCAGUGGUAGAUCGCUAGGAAAUUUAUCUCCAUAAACACCACUGAUGUUAUAAUAGUAAGCUUGUAGUAUGUCAACUGUAGGGGUAUCGAAGCUUAUGUUGUUUAUACUUGAGGAGAACCGCGUCCCAUUGGCCCCUGCACAUGAAUUAUUGACGCAUGGGUACGAGUUUACAGAAACAGUGUAAAUCAGGUUAGUGCUUGUGCUCAAUGGGACAUUGCAAGGAUGUUCCGCAUCUACUAAGCUUCGAAGGCCGGCCAUGACCUGAACCGACGCAUUUGUGUCAUUGUAUGCAGGAAGAAGAGGGAAGGAUGGAGGCGAAGAUGGAGUGUAGUAUCCGUUGUACUGUACAAUAGCUGUGGUGGUUGUGUUAUCAUAAAAAUCUUGAUAUUUCGGGGCAACAGAAUAAGUUAUAGCUGCCAUGUAAUAGUGAUCCGGGCGUUGGUUAGCUUCUAGUAAGACAUCGUAGGUUUGGCCAGGAAAUAUUGUGAUAAAAUCUCGUGUCAAUGGUUUCGUGUAGCUACCAUCUGUUCCAACCACUGUCAUUUUAUGCUUGGCAAUGGAGAAGAAGAGAGCCUCUUGUAAGGCAGCAUUGAUUAUGCGAAGUAGAUAGGUCUUUCCAUGAUCCACUGUUAGCUUGAAUGUGUCUGCAAUUAGAAAGGGAAAGUUGUAUACUUAUGACUAGCCAAAAAAAAAACAAAAAGUUUCCAUGAGGAUCCACCAAUUAUGAAGUGAUUGAUUGAUUAGGUGUGUAAAUUUGGCUGCAUAGUUCAAAAUUAUAUUUGGACUAGCCUUUUUUUUGUGUGUUAAAUCAUGGCUCUACCAUCCUUAUAGCUAUAUUCCUCUUUCUUAGCAUUAACCUUUAAAUAUGUUGAUGUUAAUAAGAAAAAGUACUAGGGUUAACAUACAAGAAAAUGAAAUCAUGUACAAUUUUAAAACGGGAAGUUAAACUUUGUACCUGAUUUUGAGCAUGGAUAUAGAUCACCGGGUUGUCCAUUUAUCAAUAAAGCAUCAGAGGGGUCAGGGUCACCUCCGGUUGCAAGCCCUUCAUCUCGAACCGCAUUCACAUCAUUCUUCCACCAUUCUCCUGCAUUUCAACAACUUCAAUAAUUUUAGAUUUUGCUUUGUUGUUUAAUUCUUAAUAUGUAAAUUAACCUUUAAAAGUAACAACACUUAUACCUAAUAUGAUGGGGACCUCUCUGUCAGGCUUGUGAAAAGGAUACUUGGUUCCAUUCUUGGGAUAGAUGAUUAUAGCUCCAUGAACAGUGGCUCGGGUCCAGUCACUGUGAGCAUGCCACCAUAGAGUGCCUUCUUCAGUGGAAAGGAUGAUCUUCUGGGUAAACUUUGACCCUGGCUGAAUUGGGCAUUGUGUGAUAUACUCAGGACCAUCUGUCCAUGGAUAUCUAGGCAUGGUCACCCCAUGCCUGCGAAACCAUAACUAUACGUUAAAACUAGUACUAAUUUUCAAAGUAACAAAAGAUGGCAUGCAACAACAUAUUAUCAUAGUAACAAGAGGCAUCAACUGUAUUUCAAUGAAACUGAAGCAAAUAACCCUAAAGUAUUAUUUUAAAUUUGACUUUAUUUUCAAAGUAAUAUAUUGGAGCCCCCUCUUAGAAAUAAAAGAAUGUAUGCCAUGUUGGCAUGCUGCCACUGCUCUUUCUCUGAGACACGCAUAGGACCUACCAGUGAAUGGUAACGUUUUCGUUUCCCUUGUUAUAAACGUCGACAAUGAUCGUCUCUCCUUUCGUAGCAUAUAUGGUUGGUCCCGGAAAUUUUCCAUUUACUGUUAAGAUGUUCUUGGCACUACAAAGCCUUGUAUAUGAAGCUUCCCUCACCUGCAAUCAAUUAAAAGUUAACCAUGCAACCUCAUCCCAAAAGAAAUAUUACAUGCAUGAAUAGUUGCAUCGAUCCAUUCACGUAAGUGUAUAACCAAUUAGAAAUUGAUAGCAUGCAUGAACGACUCAAUGACACCAAGGUAAUAGAUCAUACGGUAUGAAAUGAGAGCCAUACUACUCCUUAAAUAUCAUGAUUAGAAGGUGGCGUUAAGGCCAGAAUCAUAUAUAGUAUUUACCACAAAAGUAAGCCGACGGGUUGAAGCUUGGCAAUGGAUGCCACCACCAAAAACUAGAAACGCUAAAAUUUGCAGGAGGAAAACCUUCAUGAUCAGCCACAUUUUCCUUGGAAUAAAAGCCUCUUCUCUUCUCUUGCCCUAAACACAACUCCUUCAAUUCUCUUACUACUUUUGAUGUAUUUCUUUCACAUGUGAUUCAUUAUAUAGGCAUGGUAAUUCUCUCGGGAUACAAUACUUCCUCUCCACGUGUCAAUAUAAGAGGAAGUGAUUUGAAUGUGUAUUGGUUUUUAAUGUUCUUUCAGGACGACUUCAAAAUAAUUAAUUAUGAUAUUUCUUACAAGUUACCUACGCGUUCUUUUAGAAUAAAUUUAAAAUAUUCUUUCACAAGUCUUUUAUUGAUUAUUUCAACAAAUGUUAAUUAAUUAAAUAUAUGUAGGAUGCUUUUAAAACUUUGACCUCCCUAUGAGUAGCCUUCUGAAGAUCGUUGGUGGCAAAGUUGUUUUCGUAUAGUUAAUACAAUUUGUCAUCGUCGUUGUUUUCGUUUGAAUGGGACAAAGUUGUUUCCAAUUUUUUUUAAAACUUGGGAAUUGAGAUUAUAAAAGACAAAGUUGUUAAUACAACUUCAGAAUCGAUGAUAAACUAAUUCGGUAUUUCAGAAUUUUCCAUAAAAAAACACAAAAAUAUAUUUUGUAAAAAGUUGAAAAUAGGAUACAAACAACCCCUUGUAGUAUUUUUUUUUUUCUCAACAAAAACCAAUUUAAUAACAAUAAUAAUAAAUAAUUAUAGAUUUAAAAGAUAAUCUGAAAUUUCUUUCAAUAUAUAAGCCUUGUACGUGAUGUUGGUUGACUAUUAUGAUAGUAAAUUCGGGAGGAUGCUUGCAUGUAAAAAUUUUAUUUUAUUUUAUUUUUAAUCAUGGAGCACAUUUUGAUAGAUUCUGAUUUAUAAUACUGCAUCAAUGGUCAUGAACAUUGCAAUCAUGAUUUUUUUUGAGAUGUUUAAAUGGACGUGAAAGAUAAGAAAUAGAUUUUCUAUUAAGAUAUUUGAAUGGAGAUGAAAGCAUGGGUAUAGGUUUGUACUAAGGAAAUGAACAUAUGAUUAAAAUAAACCUGAUACAGUUAGUCUAUAAGAAUGGAUCCUGUUUCUAACCUUUUAACACACAAAUUUGGAAACCUAAACCUCUGGAUUGUUUCUUUCCUAUAAUGGAAUCCUAUAUUCCUUCUCAAAGCAGCGCUGACUUUUCCCUUCCUACCAAAUACGAAGAGAAAAUCUUGACUAAUCUUGAUAAAGUUUUAAAAGUAUUCUACAUAUGUUUUAAAUUUAUUCUAAAAUAAUGUGUUUGAUUAAUUUCUUGGUCAAUUCUCAAAGUCAAACUUGUAUUUUGAAUUAGAAAAUUCAAGAGAUUCUAAGAAACUCAUCUUCUAGGAUACACAACCUGAUUGAAGCUGAGCUGUGAGAAAUUUUCACAAUUGUUAGCAUUCUUCAGGCAUUUGGUUUAUUUAAAUUUUGGUAAGUAAUCAAAUAUCAUACACAACCUGCUCUUUGAAGUGGUCCUGGAAGAACAUUCAAAACCAAUACACAUUCAAAUUACUUCGCUUAUAUUGAUACGCGGCGAGGAAUUGUUGAUACCCAAGCCACAUGUGAUCUGAUUUAAUGUAGCUGCCACAAAGUUGCUACUUUCAUUCUCAGACAGUCUGAAGCAAUUAGAAAAUGUGAAUCGGAGGCCCCCACAUUCCUUGGAUCUGUAGACACUUGAUGGACACAAAAUGUUUUCCAUAACUGUGCAAUCAUGGGCAUCUAUUUCUUCUAUACUUGAUGGAAGCUCUGGUAAUGAUUGAAGCCUCUUGCAAUAACCCAACCUAAGGCCUUUGAGCUGUGAAAGUUGAUUGAGGCUUGCAGGUAGAUUAACAAAAUUGUUUCUGCUCAGAUCUAAAUAUUCCAAUGAGCACAGAGAGCUAAAGUCAUUGGGAAUUGGUCCUUCCAAUAUGCGGCAAUCACUUAGAUUUAACUUUCUUAGGGAUCUUAAACCAAAGAAAGAUGCAGUUGCAAACGCCUAGAGCGUGGAAUUUCUGCAGGCAACAACUGGAAAGAGAGGAGCAAAUUCCUUGGCUUGGAUUCUAGUCCUUUACAUCCCUCAAAUGAUAAUACUUCAAGGUUUUCUGAAAGAGAAAUAGAGGGCGGCAGCUCUUUUACAGAGUUCCAGCUGCUCCGAGCUUCUCUAAACCUUGUAGGCUCCCCGAACCUCUGGCAAAUUGUCUAGUUUUGAGCAACCAGAUGGAAUAAGAGUUUGAAGAGAUUUCAACUUACAAAUGCUAUGUGGAAGAAUUGCAAGGCUUUUGCAUUCUCUCAGAUUCAACAGAACAAGUCCACUUAGAUGUUGGAUAGGUGAAGUUAGCUCUUUUAGAGCAGUUCCAUCUAAGAAAAGUUCCAACAAACUCCCCAUAUUUUCCAAGACUUCUGGAAGCUCUUUUGAGUUUUAAGCAAUCUGAGAGAAUAAGAAUUUCAAGGGAUCUCAACCUAUAAAUACAGCUUGGUAAUGACUCAGGGUUUUGACAGUUCCUCAGAUUUAAUAAAACAGGUCCAGUCAGAUAUUCAAUCGACAAGGGCAAUCCUUUUACUGCAGUGCCCUCCAAGGAAAGCUCUGAUAAAUGUUUCAUGCACCCUUGGACCUCUGGAAACUUCUUGAGUUUCGAGCACCCGGAGAGAGUAAGAAUUUUGAAGAGAUUCCAUACAGAUGCUUCUUAGAAAACUCUUAAGAUUCUCGCAGCCUUCUAAAUUAAGGAAAACAAGCUUGUUUAGAUCUCCAGUGGAUGGGUGAACCUUGGACAAACUUGUACAACCUUCAAGAAUUAGUCUCCUAAGGUUUGGGGCCCCCGAGAAGUCUGGGGUUUCAAUCAGGUGUUGGGAGUAGCUAAGUUUUACGAAUUUCAAUUGCUGAUACAUCUGUCAAAAACAAAACAGAAAAAAUGAUUAUAAUUCGUUUAAAGUGAAAGACGAAACUUGCAAAGAUUAUAAUCAUAUACCUUGAGUCCUUUCCAAAGUUGUUCAACUCGACUGUAACUCAUAUUUAGCUCGACAAGCUGCUCAGGAUGAAAAUUUAAUGGGAGGGAUUUCAGAGGGUAUCCAUGCCAAUAUAGACAUCUUAAGUUGUUCGAUAGAGAUUUGAAGUCUCCAGAAAGAAGCAAUUUACAGUCUUUGAAUUGAUUGAGCUUAUUCAUCCUUGUGCAAGCAUCAGCCAGCACAUAACUGUUUCCAAGAAAAAUAUUCAAAGCUUCCACAUAGCCGCACGUUACAGACUUUGAGCAAUCUUAAUUUGUUCAUCUUCAUGAAGGCAUCAAAACUGAAGUGUAGUUCCUUUGAUGCUGACAAGUCAAGGACUAUGCCUUCAACUACUUCAGUUCCUUGCAAUUAACCAGGAACAGAGUAUGGAUUGGAAAUUAAAAUCACAAAAUUCUAAAAGGAAAAGCACAGAAAGCAUCAAACUAAUGACUUGUUUUCUUGUUUUUUUAGGCAGUGUUCUAGGAAGCAAGUAUGAAGAUAAAAGAAAAUGCAUCUACUAAGACAGAAACUCAGGGAAAAGUUAGCAAAGGAUUCAAAUCAAAUCAUUCCCCCAGCUUUAUAUCUGCCUUUGCAUACAUAAAUAUGCAAUACCUUAUUAAAAUUGUACAUAUAUGUGAGUUUCUCAAAUAAGUUGAAAUUAUUCAAACUUCCUCUUCACCUAUAGAGCUUAUAUAUACAAAAAGGGAACACACACACAAAGUUCAUGUAUUUAGGUCUUACUAUGUUUCUAGUUAAUGCAUCACUAACAUCUUCAUGAAUCCACAAUCUGCUGUGUUUUCCAGGAUAUUUAAGAGAUUCUUGCCAAACAAUUUCCCAACCCAUUUCUUGUAACAAAUCAUGCAUGCACAACUUAUUAUCUGAAACAAUUAUGAGUGACUUAUCAACGAGAACCCUUAUUCCAAUAUCCGGAAAGAAACCACAACUCUCUAGUAUUUCUGUGACAAAAUCUUUGUCCUCCCAUUUUCAAAAGCAUGCAAUAUCGAGAAAUAUAUCUCUUUGUCAUCUAAUCCAUCAAAACCCAUUUUAAGCACGUUCUGAAUUUCCAUGUUGCUAAUUCUUUUUAGUUUGUCCAAUUCACUUUUCCAUUCAAGUAUGCUCUUGCUAUACAAAAAAGCACCUAAGACUUCAAGAGCUAAGGGAAGACCCUUACUAUAAUGUAUUACAUCAUAGCAUAGCUGCAUAUAAUCUUCUCCAGGGUGGUUAUGUUUAAAGGCAUACUGACGAAAGAGUUGAAAAGCUUCACUAUCCUCUAAUCCCCUAACUUCAUAAAUUGCACUGACUCCAUGUGUAACAAGCAAAUGCUUUUCUCUGCUUGUUAUAAUAAUUCUACUUCCUGAACCAAACCAAUCAUGGUUUCCUGCUUAAUAUUCUAACUGUUCCAAGUUAUCCACAUCAUCAAGAACAAUAAGAACCUUCUUAGAGUGGAGCCUAUCCUUUACAAAAUUGAUUCUUGUAUUGGAAAUUCCUACAUUUGGAUUUCCAUCCUUCAAUGUCUUUGAGAGAAGUUCCACUUGUAAAUGAUCUAGAACACAUUUUUGUGAGCCUUCUCUAACACUUGUAAAUGAUCCAAUAAUUGGUUCAAACAGUUCAAAAUUGGUCCAAUAAAUAUACCCUUCAAAAGGAGAAAUUGAACCAGAAAUGUCGCUUGGUGGUUGGAUCAAUUAGACCAACUGAUUUGUUUCAAUUUUCAAAAAAUAUUGCUUUAACAUGUAUGAUAAUCAAAAUAUAGGAAAAAAAACUAUUUACUAAGAAAUGAGAUUAUUAUAACAAAAUAGAAAAUGUAAUCUAUUUUAAUGAUAUGAUGACUUGUAACUAGAUGAAACUUUGACCAGCAAAGAAAAACAAACAAAUCUUGAGGAAUUAGAAAAUAUUAUCUUUUAUAUUAAACUUAUCUUUGUGUAAAAGCUCUCUACAAUUAACUAUGGGUUUUCAUAAAGCUUUAUUUAGGCUAUGUUACAUUCUUGGAAAUUAAAAAAAAAAAAAUGUAAGAAAUUAAUAAAUUAUUUUUUUCAUUAAUAUAAAUUAAAUAAUUAAAAUACCUAAAUUUUUCAAAAUUGUUAAUCAUGGUAGUGGGCCUUUGAUCAGCCAAAGAUAGCCCAUGCAUCAUUUGCCAAAAUUGUUAAUCAUAGUAGUGGGCCUUUGAUCAGCCAAAGAUAGCCCAUGCAUCAUUUGCCAAAGUGAAGCACAACAACCUUAUAAUAGGGAUGUCACAUAGUAAUUCAUUAUUCAUUAUUUUGUUUUCCCUUUUCAAUGUGGAUUUUCUUAAAGCUAUUAAAAAAUCACAUAAUAUCAAGAUUUGAGCAUGGGUCUUUCACAAUAUCUUUUAUAUACUAAUAAUUAUAAAUUAAUUAAAAUGAAAGAAUUAUAAAUAAGUUAAUUUUAAUUAUCUUAUUAUGUCUCUUAUACAAUGAUUUAAUAUAGGACAAAUAUAAAUUUAUAAAUAAAAUUAUUAACAUUUUCAAAUAAAAAAUAUAAAUAUAUAUCAAUAUAUUUUUUAUAUCCUUCAAUAUAUCUAAACUUAAUGCAUUAUCAUUUUAGUAUUAAUGUUUCCCAAUUCGGUAUAUUAUUAUCUAAUAUUACAAAUUUUUUAUACAUUUAUCAAUUUUUCUUAAAACAAUAUCAAUAUAUACAUCAUUAUUUUUCUAUCAUUUUUUGAGUUAUUUCCAACAUUUCAUGAGGUUUUAUCGAUUUCCAUCUCAUAUAUAUAUAUAUAUUUCAGAAUUUUCAUUGAUAUUUGUUUAUAUAUCUAUAAACUAGAACUAAUGAUAUAUCAGUAAAAAUCAAUAUUUUCAUUCUUAUUUAACAUAAGAAAGAAAAUUAUUCAAAUGGUGCAUAAAUUAAUGUGAUCUCCUGAUGAGAAUGACAACAACAACCAUGAGUCAUAGUUAGUGUAUGUGUGUGGUAAAUUAACUUAGUGUUUGAUAAAAUAAUUAUUUAUCAUCAUUUAAAAUUUAAAAAUAAAUUUAAAUAUUAAAUCAAAAUAAUUAACUUAUUCUAAAUACUAAAUUUUUUUAUUCUCUUUGUUCAUAUUUGGUGAUAACCAUGCUUUAUUUUUAGAAUUCUUUUUUUUAGUAAAUAUUUUUUAGUUAUUUUGUAGCUUCACAAUAGUACUUUUUAAUAUAAAUGUUUAACAAGCUUAAGUUUAUGAAGAUAAUUAUUAAGAAAAAUUAAUGAGUUUAAAUAUAUCAAUAUAAUAACUUUAAAAAAAUUAAGUUGAUUUUACCAAAAUUAAAGUAAAAAUAAUUCAUCUUAAAAUUAAUUUCAAUAAUUCGGUAAUAAGGAUUAAGUUGUAUCAUAUACUCUCUUAAUUAAAAAAUGACAUAACUUCUUUCAACAACUUCUUCAUUCUACUUUUGAAAAAAUAAGAUAAAUUAAAUUAAAAAUUAAAGUGAUAUUUAUUUAUUUAUUUAUGUCUAAAAUUUAAUGUACUUGAAUUUGACUUAAAUCUAACUAUAACUUAAUAUCAUUAAGUGUCUAGACUCUUUUUUUUUAUUAGUGUCUAAAUAUUAUUAACCGUUAAAUUGUUUAUUUUUAUUAAUAUCAAAAUAUGUGAAGUGUUAAAUUUAUUUAUUUUUGGUUAAAAACAUUUACAAAAGUAAUUGUUAUAUUUCUUCUUAUUUUAAUUUGAAAAGUUAUAAUUUAACAAAAUAGUAAUUUAAUUAACACAUCUAAAAAUAUUAUAAUACAUUAUCAAAGUAAAAAUUUUAUAAUGAUAAUUAUGUAAUUAGUAAAUAAUAUUAUUGUACAAUCCAUUGUUCCAUGUCGUAUAUUAUAGCAUAGUUGUGCAUACCCAUCAGUGCAUAGACAUAUCUUUUGAUAAUCUAUCAUGAAUGUCUCGUGGACUCUACAGGAAGUAUGUAGCUAUUAUAGUAUAAAGAUGGCGUAGGAAGAGGCUCCAGGUUUAGUAGUUCACACUCAACCAUAGCAAUAGGGAAUAUAUUGCACAUUAUUUCCAUCUAAAAGAAAGAUAGAAAAGACCUUAUAAAUGGAACUUUUAGAUAAAAACUAAGGGUCACAAUGAGAUGACUCUAAGAAGGAUCACCUCAAUCUCAAUCUUAUGUCAUUUAUUUAUAUUAAAUGGGGUGAGAUAAGACAAAAUUAUAUUCGAACCUGUCCUGAACUUGGUCUGAGGCCAAGAAGGGUCUCUAAAAUAAUAAGCCUCAUUGUCAUUCUUAGGUACACAUCUAUACCAAUGAAAGUUUUUACAUCUAUUAAAAAAUUCAAUGUUCCCGAUGUUAAUUAACUUCACUAGACUACAUACACUUAAAAUGCAUGAAAAAAUGUCAAAAUUCUCAACCAAUUAAUGACAUAAACUAAAAUCAAGUUUAGUACAUCAUAACCCUAAAAUACCUCCAAACCCCAUUUCUUGUAAGACCCCCUUCUGAUUAGGUUGCAAAUGUUGAAGUACUUUAUACACUUAAUUAGGUGAACAACAAGUGUCAAGAUAAGACUUCAAGCCAUACAUAUACAUAUGCAUAUAUAUUUAAAAUUGAAAGAAAAUAUUAUCAAAUUUUAAAAAGAUAAAUUUCAAAUUUUUUUUUUACCUUUGAUACAUUUUUUGAGCUUGUACCCUUUUGUUUUACAUAUUCAUUGGAGCAUUUCUUUGACUUCCCAAAGAACUUUUUUUUUUCUAGGACUAAAAACUUUUUUCCUUAAUCGACUUGGGAUAUUAUAUACACCCACAACCUAACUUAGUAGUUUUAAAAUUAAUUGGUUAAAAAGAAUGAAAUAAUCCCAAAAUUUGUAAAUAUAACAAGAUUGUGUUUUUACUUGAAAAGUAGCCCAUUUUGACAUAAAUGUCUUUCGCCAUUUCAAUUAUUUACAUUUAAAUUUAAAAAAAAAGUUAUGACAUUUUUGUCAAAAGAAGGACACAAAAAGAUCAAAAGUUAAAUUUCCAGAUUUAGUUUUUUAAUAGAUAUUUUAAUAAAAUAAACCUUAGUUUUAUAUCACAUAAUGUUUCUUCUUUAUUGUUCUUUAAUCCCUUUUAUUUAUUUAUUUAUUUUAUCAUACACGACCUAUUAAAUUUGAAAAUUUUAACAAUUUCUUGCAGUGCAUGCCUACGUGCUUAUCACAUGAGCUUCUCCAUCUAUACUAGCUAGGGAUCCAUUUGAUAAUUUCUUUUAGUGUCCACAUGCUUAUCACAUGGACCUCUUCACUUCUAUUAAUAGGGGUCCAUUUGGUAUUUCAAAAUAGUUCAAGGGCUUUGCUUAAGAAAAGCUUAGAGACUAGUUCGAAACAAUGUUUUUAGAACCCAACUAGUUAUUGAAUAAAAAAAGUUAUUGAUUCAUUGUCUAGUGGUCAAAUUAAUGUUUGAACUGCAGUCAAAUUGGUGACAUCAUAAAUAUAUAAAUUAUAUAUUAAAAAAAAUUAUAAAAUUAUAAAACUUAUUUUUCAUCUUUGACAUUUCCAAACUUAAAUCAUGAAUAAAUAUAAAUAUAUUAAUAUUUUAAAUUUUAUAAAUAAAAUUUGUGUAACAUUCAUAUGUAAAGAAAUAUAUUUAAAUAGAAUAAAAUUCUUUUGUUCAUAAUUUAUUUUACUUAUAUUAUAUUAUUUAGUUGUAUUACAAAAUUUAAAAUAAUUAUGUUAAUUUAGGUUUAGUUUGCAUUUUUUAAAUUAUAAUCAUUAAUAACAAAGUGGUGAUAGCCUAAACAUGAUCUAAAGGUCCAUGGUUCAAACCCUUGGUUCCUCAUCAUUUUCCUGGUCUCAUUAGGUGGGCUAGGCUUGGUAUGCGAAGGGCUAACCUUCCACCCAUGAUCCAACCUUUUAGUUGAUGAAAAAAGAAGGCUAACCUAGAAUCGAUAGACCAUGGUUCAAAGUUGUGGUUGCGGUCACUAACUUGGAGGGUCUUGCGGCACAUUGGUCUUGACAUCUUAGCUUGAUAUUAGAUGAUAUGUAAAAUAAGAUAAAUAAAAAUUAUAAAAUUAUAAAAUAUUAUAAUAAAUAUUUAAAAAAUAAAUAUAAUUAAAUAAACUUAAAAUUUAAUAAAAUAAAAUAUUAUGAAAAUUAAAAUUGUUCAAUAAAUUUUUAAUAUUGAAAUUGAAAACAAAAACUCUUUAAUUACCAAACUCAAAUUAAAAAAUAAAAUAAAAUGUGAUGAUUUUUACCACACAUUAGCAUUUAAAAAUUGAAACAAUAAAAUAACAUAUAUUAUUGAUACUAUCAUUUAAAACAACAAAUAUAUUGUUGAUAAUGGCAUUUAAAACUAUAAAAUAGUGCAUUAGACCUGCAUUCAAAUCUUCAAUUCUCAAACACCACCAACCCACCCAUGAAUAGAGAAAGAGAAGAGAACCCUAGCAAAAGUAGAGAGCUUCAAUUCUCAAAUCUUCAAUUUUCUUUUUAUGUGUUCAAGUGAUUUUUAUUUGUUAAAUGAUUCCAGCUACUACUUGGGUCUAGUAUUUCCUUGGUGUAUAUAUCAUGCACUUCUCAGUAGAAAGCCCAUAGACUAAUAUAAAGGAGAAACAAGUUUUUAUUUAUUUGCAAUGCCUAAUAUAAAAUUUAAUAAGCACCUAAUUUUUUAUUUCAGCUAUGAAUGAUAUUUUUCUCUAGAUCAUAAGUACGUUGGUUGAAUUAAAAAAAAUUUAUACCAUUUCAGCCACUAAUUAAUAUCAUGCAAUAGAAAAACAAAAUUGAAAUUUGGGAUAAUAAAUAUCAUUAAAGUACAAAGAAAGUAACUUAUUGGGAGCAAAUUCUUCACAACCUGGCAUUCGCCUUUAGAUUGAAUAAUUUAUUAAUAAUCUCCUCUUUCUUUCUAAACUUCACCGCUGUUUAUGAAAGUUUCUAAAAACCAAAGCCCAAAGCCUAGACUAUAAAAAGGAAACAAUCACUUGGAGAGGGGUUGUUUGUUUUUCUUGGGAGCCUAAUAAAUGCAACGGCAUAGACAGAAAGAGGCGGAAGAGUUGAGUCGGAGGAUCAAGAAACACAACCAUUCUUCUCUUUCAUUUCUAUACAUAUCCUUCCAUGCAUUCUCUGGCUCUCCCAUUCUCUUUUUCAAAGCUACAUCUUUCCUCAUAGACCCUGUUUGGUUUCUAAGAAAGUGGUCUAGGUCUCUUUCUUUUUCUUGAUUUAUCUUUGGUUUACAAGAAUCAGGAGUGAAGUAAAGUGGGCUCUUGAUUUAUGUUUGAUUUUUCUUAUUCAAACCUAUGUUUUGAUCUUUUCUCUCCAGCUCUUGUGGUCUAGGUCUAAUAUGCGUUGUGUUUUCUUUCUUUUUUCUUGGUUUUUGUUUGGUUUUCCAAGAAAGUGAAGGAAAAGGAACUCUUUACUCUCUUGGCAUAUUCCACUUAGGAUUGUCCUCCUACAUCCUUUGAUGCUUUAGUGUUUGGUCAUUAGUUGUUUUUAAGCCCUUAUUGAUGGUCCAUUAAGACAUUUUAAAGGGAUUAGGCGGAUCCCUAUCUUGAUUUUAGUGAUUUUUGAAUCUUAGUUUUAAUUGAUUUAUAACAUAUUUAGGCUUGUUUAGAACUUUUAAAAUUCAUAAUUUUGAAUGUGCCAAAUACCCCCUUCCAUCAAUUCCAACUGCAGCAACUGCCAUUCAAAGAUGCUAGCCACAUAUUAAACCCAUGCAUGAACCCCCAGCCAGAUACCCAUUUUUUCCUCCAUCCAUCAACCACCUUCUUACUCCCACCACCGCCACUGCUCACCAUUCCCACUUCUCCUCCACCACCAUGGCCACCACCGCUUCUGGCUCUGUCUUCCUCCUUCUGCUCCUUGCUGCCAGCGCUGCCGUUGAUGGCAGAGUCAUAAGCAACCGCACAUCGUCCACCGGCCUAGUCUCUGACGGCGUCCACGACCACCGCAAUGGUUUGCCUUAUCUUCUUCUCAGGUCUUUUUCGGCCGUUUCAGCCUCGGAUUCAUGUGAUCAUAUAGUAAACCCAAAUGGAAAUCAAACCUUCACAACCCGCUCACCUUUCCGAUGCCCGUGAUGAUCAAGUCUGGCACUCGAAAGAGAGAGGACAACUGGGUCAUCUCCCUCUUCGUGAUCCUCCACAUUGGGCCCUUCUUGCAUCGCCUUGGAUUUGAAACUGACCGGUUUAGAACCAUAACUCCUGCACGCGAGAGAGAUCACCAUAAGCCAUGCAAGGGAGCAUGCCAGUCACGUUCUCUAACUGCCAUGCAUCCGGUGAAGCGGUUUUGCGAGGAGAAGCCUCCAGAAGAGAAUCUUUUCGGUUGCGGGAAUAUAAAGAUCACGCCAGAAAGAAUAAAGAGGGCUGUUCUAGAGACUUCGGAGGAGGAGAGAGGAAAGGAAAACUGACAUAGAGAGUCUCUGUUUCUGGGCGUUUUUUGGAAGAGAGUUCAAAGAUCUUCUUUCUGUAGAAGAUCAUCACAUGCACCGAUUCAAAGAAUUUAGAGAACUUCUCGUUAGAGUCAAGGUUCUCAUCAUUCUAGACCUUCAUGAACAUCUUCUUCACGGCGGCAUUGGCAUCCCGAUUCCUGAACCUCCAUGAUUGAUUGAUCUCCAUCAUCUUCACGAUCGUGCACAAGUUCUGAAAGUAGAGACGUGAAUCUCUUCAUCGUCUUCACUCUCUAUACUUGUAUCUCGAAGGUUAUCCCGGUUUCUAUGUGCAUCGGAUCUCCAUAGGAAAAAUUAGAGAAUGAAUAGAGGUUGACUGUCAGCCCCUUAGACCCUUGACUUAACCAUGGAGGAAUAGGCCUCAUGGGUAGGCCUUGCACCCAUGAAAGCCUAGGAUGAAAGCAGGGAAAUCCUGGAGGUUUGGUGGUUCAAACUCUAGGAGGCAUGUGAGGAGGCCGCAGGUGAGCCAGACAAGCACUGCGCGCGCAUCGCGGGCGAGGCAGACACGCACCACGCGCACACAGUGGGCAAGCCAGACGCGCACCGCGCGCGCACAGUGGGCGAGCUAGACGCGCACCGCAUGCACACCACAGGCGAGCCAGACAUGCACCGCGUGUGCACCAGAUGGGCAUCGCGCGCGCAUCUGACUUAGGUGGUGCAGAUGAAGGCUGAGGGACUUGGAAUUUUAAUUUAUAAUUAAAAUUAUUAUUCCAUUAUGCCUUCUCAGACAUAUUGAUGUCUCCUCAAGAAACAAUGAAAAUGGCUCGUAUUGCUCUUUAAGGGGGGGGGUAGGUGACUCAAAGGAGGGAGCCACCAAGAGAAGCCUUGACCGCACCAAGGGGGCACCAUGGCAUGGCCUUGGGCGUGCCUAAGACACACGACAUGACUCGAGCACGCACACAUGGGCUCCACGACAUGUGUGGUGUGCACCCCAUGGCCGCAACGGCACGGGGCCUGGUGCGGCCUGACCCCUCCCCGUGCAGGCACGAGGGAACCUAAGCCUUGUGCGGUAAGCCAGUUAAUGAAACCAUGGGCACAAUGCCAUGGUCUGAUGGCUCCAAUAGCUGACUCGCAUCAAGAUGCCUACGCAAAGCACAGGGUGCAAUGCCCUGUGCACCAAGAGGGAUCAGUCAUGGGCGCAAUGCCAUGGCUCGUUGCUUGGAAGCUGGGAAGCAAGCAACAAGCCCAAGCCAUGGGCACCUAGACAUGGCAUGGGUUCAUUCAUUAGUGUGGGGAAGGCACACUGAUGCACUAGACGCUUGGUCAAAUGGGUGGAGCACGUUGCCUGGCUUAGAGGGCCUUGAUCAAAGACAUGCUGAUGGGCACCUGGUCACAAGAGGCACCUUACGGGGGAGGGGUCAGCUUGUUAGGGGGACUCACCAGUAGCUUGGCGAGCAAGACCUGAGGAGAUGGCAGUGCAGCUAGCUAGUGGCAGCUAGCUCAGUGACCAAGUCAAGCCGUCAUUUGAACUGCAGUUGGCUGAGGGAUGAUGGCUGGUGCAAGUGGGUGGCAUGUGCAGGCCACUAUCUAGGUGGUGGGUGGUUAUGCAGGGCAGUUGAGGGCGGUUCUGGCCAGUUGCAUAACCACCAAAGUUGGCUUCAAGAUUUGAAUUGGAAAUUCAAAUUUGUAAUUGCAGCUUGAGUCUUUUAAAAGGGCUCCUGCAGCCUUCAAACAGGGAGAGAGAGUUUUGGGGAAAGGGUUCCUUCUCGUAUGCCUUGGGUGAGAGCAUUGUACUCUAGUUCAGGAAGCAAUUUUGUCUUGCAAGAGUGAUUAAUACAAGUUAGGAAAGGAUUCUCGUAACCUCAUGUGUCCCUGUUGCUUUGUUAUUUCUGUGUUCUACUCUGUUUUUCUAAACGUUAGGAUGGAAGGUUGGCUAAGGACUGGUCCUUAGCACCGCGCACUCGUGAAAAAUUCAGUGAGAUAUUCAGGGGUAUGACACUGACCAUGAUUACUAUAUCUAGAUAUAUGUUAUGGAAUAAUGGCAGUUGUAGUAAAUAAUACACAAUGGGUUACAGGAUAAUGUUGAUGCUUGUUGAUUUUUUUAAUAAAUACUACAUAUAGAAAAGUAGAUGUAUAACCAGCCAUAAGUGUUUUUAGUGGCUCUUGAUUACAAGUUAUUGUGCCUUGUUCAUAUGUAUUAUUUUUUUCUUCUACAUGUUUAGUGUUGUCAUUUUAGUUCCAAGUAUAAUAUUCGAUUCCUUAAUUCUAAUCUUUAUUGCCAAUAUUUUCACUUUAUUCAUGAUUUUUUUGAAUACAUGUUAGUUUAGGUUGGGUGUGGACAAUUUGGGCUACGCAUGAGUGUUGUUAGAAUUUGAUAUUUAGGAAACUAAAUGAUUAAAUGUGGAUUGCUUGGUGAAUUAUGAUUGAGAUUGAGUUAUUUUUUUCUCUUUUUAUUCAAAACUUCUUUUCAUCUAAAUAAGUCAUUGGAUAAUCACAUGAUAAUUGGCUUUGAAUAAAUUCUCCUCAUUUUGAUUCUUAGAAAUUUGAUUUGUCUUAAUUUUCUAAAAUAAUUCACACAUGUACAUUUACAUUUUUUAAUAAUCCAAAUUUAAAAAUAUACAUGAACCGUUUUCCUUUUUUGGAAAAUUGAUUUUAUACCUCAUUCAUAACAAGAUCAAUCUUAGUCUCUUUGAUAAUGGAUGGCUUUUGUAUUUAAAACCUAUCUUAGUCUCUUUUAAGUAGAAAAUUUCAAUUUCUAAAAAGAAUAAUGCUGCCCAUUUUAUUUGGUAUGCAACUUUGAAAGGUUUUAAAAUAUUUUUCCCUUAAUCUAGACUUCUUAAAUUUAAUUUUUGACAUAUUAAAUAUUAAGAAAAGAUUUCUGAAAUGAGAGAUAUAAUUUUUUUCUUUUUGACCUUGCUGCACCUAUGCUCCCCUAGAGCUGAAGGAUGUUUACUUAUUUUUAAAUGUGUCAUGAAUGUAACAUUGCCUUGUGAUUAUUAUUUUUUAUUAAAAAUAGACAUGUUAGCUAGUUGUACGAAUUUUUGUAUGAUUUUAGGACAUCUCCAAGUUAAUUAAAAAAAUAAGUUCUUGAGUAUUUUAACAAAAUGCCCUGUUCUGAACCUACUAAUAUCAUUAUGAAAUCUAGUACUAAAUGAGAGCUAAUUGAUAAAUUGGAUGAUAAAGUAGACAUAUAGAAGAUAUUCUUUGAAAAUUUUUGUAAUGAAAUUCAACUUCUAGAUAUUUGUUUUUGAUUUAUUAUAUCCCCUGUUUUGACCAUUUGCUGACUUUUUUUUUUUCUUUUUUUUUUUUUUUUUGUAAAAGAACUCAUUUGUAAAUAAAUUUGACAUUGAUUAUAUAUAAGUUUAGUUUGUAAUUCCUUUUUGAAUUCAUUACUAUUAUUUGUGAGUUAAUCUCAUUUCUAUGAAAAUGCUUUAAGAUGCUAAAACAGGUAUGCAAACCCUCUUUUCAUAAUUUAUUUAAAUUAAAGCUUAUGAUUGAACAUUGUCUAUUAGAGUUUGCUAGUUGUGUUGAGAUUUAUGACUUUAAAUUUGACUUGUUAUGGAAUAUGUGAUUGCUUAGAAUACAAUGUGAUGCUAUUGCUUGUUAUCUAACUUUUGUGUUUUUUGGAACCGCUCAAAUUAGGUAUGCCUUUCUUCAUAUAAUUGAUGAAUUGUAUUGAUGUGUUUUAUUUAGUUCAUAGUAUCCAUGAAUCAACCAAUUGAUCUUCGGAAUUAUUUCAAUUUACUUAGUAGAGACCUAGCUUUUAGGGCUUAGAGGGACGCUAUAGUUCUUCAUUGUACCUUCCUGAUAAGUAAUCUGAUACUCGAACUUAGACUCGGGUUUUCAAAGACAAGCAUUUCUAAAUAAAAAGGAGUCAUUUUCUAGGGUUUUUCUUUCUUAUUUUGUUUGUCAUUUUAAAAAAAUAAAACGAAAAUAAGUGGUGACUCCAUUAUUUAUAAAAUUGGUUUUUCACAAACAAAAAGUGAGUGUUGCCAUCGAGUGAGAAUGCAUGUGAAAAUGCGGGAUCACAAACGGUGAAGUAAAGUGGUUCUUGAUUUAUGUUUGACUUCUGUUUUUUAAACCUCCAUUUUGAUCUUUCCUCUUCGGUUCUGUUUGGUUUCCAAGAAAGUGGUCUAGGUCUAAUAUGGACCAUAGUUUCUUUCUUUUUCUUGGUUUUUGCUUGUGUUUUUCUUUUUCUUGGUAUAUCUUUGGUUUACAAGAAACAGGAGUGAAGUAAAGUAGGUUCUUUAUUUUUGUUUGGUACUUUGGUUUCUCGUUCUCAAACCUACGUUUUUAUCUUUCCUUUUAUGCUCUGUUUGGUUUCCAAGAAAGUGGUCUAGAUCUAAUAUGCACUGUGCUUUCUUUCUUUUUCUUGCUGUCUGUUUGGUUUACAAGAAGCAGGAAUGAAGUGCAGUGCAUUCUUGAUUUCUAUUUGGUUUCGAAUAAAGUGAAGGAAAAUGAUGUCUUGCUUGUUAUAUAAUCAUUGAUAAGACGCCCAGGGUAAGAACCUCAUAUUCCUAAAAACAUGCUUACCAAUGAUUUUGCUUGAGCUCUUAGAAAUAAUCUCAAAUAAUCUCACUUAAAGCUCUCAAAUAGUAAUCUAUGUCCACCAUGAUAAGACAUGAUGAAAUAAGCCCCACAAAAAUAGUAUUUCAGUGCCAUUAUUUGAACCCAAGAUGAGCCCCAUGGCUCUAUCGUUUGCCUUUCUCAAGCAAACCCUACAAAGUGAAGGCUUCUUUUCUAUUAUUUAACUGUGGAGUGAGGUAACCACAAGGGAGAACCAUCAAGUAGACGCUAUCUCUUUUGCUUUCACUCUUUAUCACUGCUUUAAGUCUAAUUAUGCCUUAGAAGUAGAAACUAUGCACUAACCAUUCUCAGGUCCCACAACCCACUAUUCAUAAGCAUCAGAGUGAUGCUGUGCAUGAAGAUACUUGUACAAGGGUUUUAUGUCAUGCAACUUUCGGUGAAUCCAAUAUGUUACGAACUCCACAAAAACAAUAUAUGCCAUGAUGUACACCAAGUAGGCAAACCAGCCAACUUCACUUAUUCUUGAAAAGCACUUUGUCCACCCAUUUUCGACUGCAUACUCUGAAAAUGUUGGGAGAGCAGCAAACCAGGGAAAACUCCUCAUGGAAGCUUUGACGUGCAAAACAAAAAUGCACUAUUGGAAUAACAUGUAAUUAAGAGCUCAAGAAGACAUGCCAUUCCCUAAUGAAACAACGCUAAGCACUAUUGGAAUAAGCACGCAUUUAAACAAAACUGACAUAGAGAGUCUCUGUUUCUGGGCGUUUUUUGGAAGAGAGUUCAAAGAUUUUCUUUCUGUAGAAGAUCAUCACAUGCACCGAUUCAAAGAAUUUAGAGAGCUUCUCAUUAGAGUCAAGGUUCUCGUCAUUCUAGACCUUUAUGAACAUCUUCUUCACGGCAGCAUUGGCAUCCCGAUUCCUGAACCUCCAUGAUUGAUUGAUCUCCAUCAUCUUCACGAUCUUCACGAUCGUGCACUAGUUCUGAAAGAAGAGACGUGAAUCUCUUCAUCGUCUUCACUCUCUAUACUUGUAUCUCGAAGGUUAUCCCGGUUUCUAUGUGCAUCGGAUCUCCAUAGAUGAACUCGGAUUUUGCAUUGAUCUGAAUCUCAAGCAUGCAUUAUUUCCAUAUUGUGCUGCCAAACUUGGUGUUUUUCUUCAUUUAUUCUUCACCACAACAGUUGGACAUAAAGGUUAGUCUCAAUGAAUCUUUACCAUUUGAAUUAGUUUAUUAAUGAUUUUUAAGUUAUUCAUUGAUGAAGUUAAGGCUAAUAGAUGAAAUUGGUUUGUUGAUUUUGAAACUCACGGCUGUUUGUGACAUGCUUUUAUCAAAAUUAGAGAAUGAAUAGAGGCUGACUAUGAUUACUAUAUCUAGAUAUAUGUUAUGGAAUAAUGGCAGUUGUAGUAAAUAAUACACAAUGGGUUACGGGAUAAUGUUGAUGCUUGUUGAUUUUUUUAAUAAAAGCUACAUAUAGAUAAGUAGAUGUAUAACCAGCCAUAAGUGUUUUUAGUGGCUCUUGAUGACAAGUUAUGAUGCCAUGUUCAUAUAUAUAUAUAUAUUAAUUUUUUCUUUUUUUAAUCCUAUCUAUGUUGUUGAUAUUAAUGCAUUGAAUUUGAUGUUACCUAAAACAAAAUUAUAUUCAUGUCCUCUAUUAUAAGUGGACAACCAUUCUUUAUGUUAGAUUUUAGAUAAAGAACGAAUAUUGAAGAUUGGAGUUGUAAGAAAUUAGGAGAUCCUAAUUUUAAAUAUGUAACAAAGUUCUAUAAUCACUUCAAUCCACAUUUAAAAAUUGUAUUUCUUUCUAAAAUGGGAUCAAACUUUUUCCUUCUUUCUUAUAAAUUUCAUUUGGGAAUGAUUUAAAAAUAAAUAAAUAAAAGCCCUUCUAAAUAUUAAAAAAACACUCUCUUAUAAAAUUUAAUUAGGUGGAUGGUUAGGUCAAAUUCGGGAUAGCUUCAUAUUUUUUGCUUUAACUGAAAAUUAAAAUCAAAAUUAAAGUAAUAAUUUUUAAGAUGUUGUAAAAGUUAUAUUAAACAUGAAAGAACUUAUUGUGUAAACAAAAAUAGAAUUAUAGAAUUCUUAUAAGAAAUAACAUUUUUAUGACUUCUAUAUGAAACUUUUUAAAAAAUUUAUCAGUUUUUCUUUUUAAAAAAUAAUUAAAUAGGUAUAAAAAACUUUUAUUCAACUUAAUUUUUUUUAACUCUUGAAAGUAAAUCCAAAUAAAAUUUAAAUAUAUUUGAAAAUCAUUUUCAAAAAUCCAAAAAAUCACCUAAAAAUAAUUUCAAAUUUUUUUUAUUUACAUUUAAAUACUAAGUGAUUCUUUUAAAAAUCAUUUGUAAUGUCAAAAUAUUUUUUUAUGGAUAAAAAUAUUACAAAUAAAAAACAUUUCAAUCACAAUUAAUUUAUUUUUAAUUCAUGAAAUUUCAUUUAUUGUUACUUAUUUUUUGGGAUUUAAUUCUUUACAAUUAUUUUUGAGUGUUUACAUAGAAUAAUUAGGUUAUGCCCAAAUUUAUUCCUUUAACUCUAUCCAUCAGAUAUAAGUAUCGUGAAAUUUUGGCCUGUCUCCACCUUUCUUCGCUUUUGACAUUGUCAUGCACUGCUUCCUCAACUCCAAACACAACCGCUGAGGAUCGAAGAAAAUGAGACAAUGGUCAAUGAAUAAUUUAUUAAUUUUUUUCUUAAUUUAAUAGCAUUGGAAUGUCAGUUGGAACAAACCAUUUGAUGAUCUUUUUCAUAAGUAUCCAUUUAGAUCAUAGUCUUUUUAAAAUAUUAGAAUAAAUCAAUUAGUCUAAGCUAUAUCAUUUAUAAUUUUUUUAUUAUUAAUAUGAUACCUAUCCUUUCACGGAAUUGAAAUAAAAUAUGAAUAAUUAAAAAAUGUCAACUAUCCAUGAUAUUUGAUACCAAACUUUUCUAAUACAACAUGAUAUCAUGUUGAAUGAAAUGGGAAUCACCAAAUGUUCUCAAAUCAAAGAUAUAUCUACAGGGGACACGUCAAAUUCUCUUUUUAUAAUCAAAGGCUUCCAAAAAAAUUCAACCAUAGCAUAUCUCAAAGAUUAGUCAAAUUCCAUUAUUUUUAUAGACUUCUAACAAUUCAAGAAAUUGACAUUAAUAAUCCCAAACACAAUAUUCUGCAACUUUACAUUAUUCUUUUUAUUGUAAUUGAAGAGGAAUACCAACUUAGUCAAAUAGAAAAUAAAUCAUGAAAGCUGAAUAAUACAAAUAUUCAGUGAAAUCUUUGGCAUGUUAUUUCUUUGCAGCUUCAACAUGGUGGCAUGUCGGAUGGAGGAGGCAGCAUUUGAGCUUCUGGGUGUUUACCAUUUUUCACUAUGAAUGCAGUUUCCAUGCCCCAAGUCACAUGGCGUUCUACAUGGCAAUGCAGGAACCACACUCCUGCAACAGAGAAAAUAUAUCGAGAUUACACCUAACUUAAUUGUAAUAUUAAAAAAAAAUUAUUUCAUUGGUAUGCAAGUUGGCAGUAUCAAGGGUUUUUUUCUUUAAUAGAGGACAUGAGUGCUUGCAACGUACCAGGGUUGGAUGCCUUGAAUCUGAUUGCAACCCAACCUUUCGAAGGAACAGAGAUGGUAUUCUGAAGGGGAGGAUCCACCAAAUUAUAGUGCAAAGGGUCCCUAUUUUCAUCGAAAUUCCUAAAUCCCCAUCCAACAACAUAGAAACUGUAUCCAUGGAGAUGCAUAGGGUGGUGUGUCUCUGCAAGCACGGCUGUCCCUUGAAGAACAAUCUCCACUGUGGAGUUAUACUCGAGCACCCUUACUUCUGUUCCACUGCUCGGCAACUGAUAGAUUAAUGGAAGAUAAUCAUAUGUAAAAUCGAACACUAGUGGUGGAAAGCUAGGAAAGUUAUUUCCAUAUACACCACUGAUGUUAUAAUAGUAAGCUUCCAGUAUGUCAACCGUAGGGGUAUGGAAGCUUAUGUUGUUUAUACUUGAGGAGAACCGCGUCCCAUUUGGCCCUGCACAUGAAUCAUUGACGCAUGGGUACGAGUUCAUAGAAAGAGUGUAAAACAACUUAGUGCUCGUGCUCAAUGGGACAUUGCAAGGAUGUUCCGCAUUUGCUAAGCUUCGGAGGCCGGCCAUGACCUGAACUGAUGCAUCUGUGUCAUUGUAUGCAGGAAGAUGAGGCAAAGAGGAGGUGAAGAUGGAGUGUAGUAUCCCCUAUAUUGUACAAUAGCUGUGGUGGUUGUGUUAUCAUAAAAGCCUUGAUAUUUCGGGGCAACAGAAUAAGUUAUAGCCGCCAUGUAAUAGUGAUUUGGGCGUUGGUUAGCUUCUAAUAAGACAUCAUAGGUUUGGCCAGGAAAUAUUGUGAUAUAAUCUCGUGUCAAUGGUUUCGUGUAGCUACCAUCUGUUCCAACCACUAUCAUUUUAUGCUUGGCUAUGGCGAAGAAGAGAGCCUCAUGCAAGGCAGCAUUGAUUAUGCGAAGUAGAUAGGUCUUUCCAUGAUCCACCGUUAGCUUGAAUGUGCCUGUAAUUAGAAAGGGAAAGUUGUAUACUUAUGACUAGCAAAAAGAAAAAGAAAAAUUUUCCAUGAGAAUCCACCAAUUAUG